RNAcentral lists this transfer RNA (69 nucleotides) under Kaburagia rhusicola ensigallis. RNAcentral's name for it is "tRNA-Trp". The record is from RNAcentral. Lineage: Eukaryota; Metazoa; Arthropoda; Insecta; Hemiptera; Aphididae. RNAcentral also lists the same sequence under 1 other name.
UUAAGAUUUUAAGUUAAUUAUAAAACUAUUAAUCUUCAAAAUUAAAAAUAAAUAUUCUUUUAAAUCUUA